RNAcentral lists this ribosomal RNA (483 nucleotides) under uncultured bacterium. RNAcentral's name for it is "partial 16S ribosomal RNA". It matches the Rfam family "Bacterial small subunit ribosomal RNA", at positions 28 to 507 of the family's 1533-position model. The record is from RNAcentral.
AUUGAACGCUGGCGGCAUGCUUUACACAUGCAAGUCGAACGGCAGCGCGGGCUUCGGCCUGGCGGCGAGUGGCGAACGGGUGAGUAAUGCAUCGGAACGUGCCCAGUAGUUGGGGAUAGCCCGGCGAAAGCCGGAUUAAUACCGCAUACGACCUGAGGGUGAAAGCGGGGGACCGAAAGGCCUCGCGCUCUUGGAGCGUCCGAUGUCGGAUUAGCUAGUUGGUGGGGUAAAGGCUUACCAAGGCGACGAUCCGUAGCUGGUCUGGGAGAACGACCAGCCAACCGGGACUGAGACACGGCCCAGACUCCUACGGGAGGCAGCAGUGGGGAAUUUUGGACAAUGGGGGCAACCCUGAUCCAGCCAUGCCGCGUGCGGGAAGAAGGCCUUCGGGUUGUAAACCGCUUUUGUUCGGGAAGAAAUCCUCUGGGCUAAUACCCCGGGGGGAUGACGGUACCGGAAGAAUAAGCACCGGCUAACUACGUG